Molecule: ribosomal RNA, 495 nt
Filed under: uncultured bacterium
Lineage: Bacteria
Description: partial 16S ribosomal RNA
Rfam family: Bacterial small subunit ribosomal RNA
Source: RNAcentral
GACGAACGCUGGCGGCGUGCCUAAUACAUGCAAGUAGAACGCUGAAGGAGGAGCUUGCUUCUCCGGAUGAGUUGCGAACGGGUGAGUAACGCGUAGGUAACCUGCCUGGUAGCGGGGGAUAACUAUUGGAAACGAUAGCUAAUACCGCAUAAGAGUAGAUGUCGCAUGACAUUUGCUUAAAAGGUGCAACUGCACCACUACCAGAUGGACCUGCGUUGUAUUAGCUAGUUGGUGAGGUAACGGCUCACCAAGGCAACGAUACAUAGCCGACCUGAGAGGGUGGUCGGCCACACUGGGACUGAGACACGGCCCAGACUCCUACGGGAGGCAGCAGUAGGGAAUCUUCGGCAAUGGACGGAAGUCUGACCGAGCAACGCCGCGUGAGUGAAGAAGGUUUUCGGAUCGUAAAGCUCUGUUGUAAGAGAAGAACGAGUGUGAGAGUGGAAAGUUCACACUGUGACGGUAUCUUACCAGAAAGGGACGGCUAACUACGUG